This 316-nucleotide ribosomal RNA is filed under the name Fundulus notatus (blackstripe topminnow). Its description in RNAcentral is "partial 16S ribosomal RNA". It matches the Rfam family "Bacterial large subunit ribosomal RNA", at positions 2184 to 2569 of the family's 2925-position model. The record is from RNAcentral. Lineage: Eukaryota; Metazoa; Chordata; Actinopteri; Cyprinodontiformes; Fundulidae.
AGACACAAGGGCAUAUCAUGUUAAAGUAUUGAUUUUAAACAAUUAAAACAAAUUGAAUUCUGCCACAAUGUUUUUGGUUGGGGCGACCGCGGAGAAAAACCUAACCCCCGUGCGGAAUAAAAGCAUAAUCUUUUAAAACCGAGAGCUACAGCUCUAAGUAACAGAACAUCUGACCUUAGUGAUCCGGCAAUGCCGAUUAACGAACCGAGUUACCCUAGGGAUAACAGCGCAAUCCCCUUUUAGAGUCCCUAUCGACAAGGGGGCUUACGACCUCGAUGUUGGAUCAGGACAUCCUAAUGGUGCAACCGCUGUUUAG